AAAUAUGAAGCAAUUCUAUGCAUUUAAUUUCGACUUAAAAGAAAGAGUUUCUUACUCCAUAUUUU
This 65-nucleotide transfer RNA is filed under the name Papilio memnon. Its description in RNAcentral is "tRNA-Arg". The record is from RNAcentral. Lineage: Eukaryota; Metazoa; Arthropoda; Insecta; Lepidoptera; Papilionidae.